This 234-nucleotide unclassified non-coding RNA is filed under the name soil metagenome. RNAcentral's name for it is "partial contains small subunit ribosomal RNA, internal transcribed spacer 1, and 5.8S ribosomal RNA". The record is from RNAcentral.
UCUCCGUUGGUGAACCAGCGGAGGGAUCAUUACAGGAAGCCGAAAGGCUACUUAAAACCAUCGCGAACUGUUCCAAGUUGCUUCGGCGGCGCGGUGCCCCUAACAGGGCGCCGCAGCCCGGCCUCUCCGGAGGCGCGGGGCGCCCGCCGGAGGUACGAAACUCUGUAUUUUAGUGGCAUCUCUGAGUGUAAAGCAAAUAAGUCAAAACUUUCAACAACGGAUCUCUUGGCUCUG